GGCGACCGGCAAACGGGUGCGGAACACGUACAGAACCUUCCUUCGAGCGGGGAAUAGCCCAGAGAAAUUUGGAUUAAUACCCCAUAGCAUAUUGAUAAGGCAUCUUAUUAAUAUUAAAGAUUUAUCACUUGAAGAUGGCUGUGCGGCUGAUUAGGUAGUUGGCGGGGUAACGGCCCACCAAGCCUGCGAUCAGUAACUGGUGUGAGAGCACGACCAGUCACACGGGCACUGAGACACGGGCCCGACUCCUACGGGAGGCAGCAGUAAGGAAUAUUGGUCAAUGGACGAAAGUCUGAACCAGCCAUGCCGCGUGGAGGAUGAAGGUCCUCUGGAUUGUAAACUUCUUUUAUAUGGGACGAAAAAGGGUCUUUCUAGAUCAACUGACGGUACCAUAUGAAUAAGCACCGGCUAACUCCGUGCCAGCAGCCGCGGUAAUACGGAGGGUGCAAGCGUUAUCCGGAUUCACUGGGUUUAAAGGGUGCGUAGGUGGGUUGGUAAGUCAGUGGUGAAAUCCCCGAGCUUAACUUGGGAACUG
Molecule: ribosomal RNA, 535 nt
Filed under: uncultured Terrimonas sp.
Lineage: Bacteria; Pseudomonadati; Bacteroidota; Chitinophagia; Chitinophagales; Chitinophagaceae
Description: bacterial SSU rRNA
Rfam family: Bacterial small subunit ribosomal RNA
Source: RNAcentral